GGCAGUGGGUGUGUAGCCCCCAGCCAAUAUCAAUGCACAGGUGAGGUAGGGACUCUAUAAAAAGGUAGCGAGCAGGUUCCAGACCAGAAGCACGCAUCCAAGAGGAAGCUACAAAAAUGGUGGACACAGCACUGAAAAAACACAAAAUAUGGCGAGGCGAAAUGCCAAACGGACAAACCUCAUUCCAAAACAAAAGUGAAUCCGGGGUUGGCUUUCACCCACCGGCGAGCACUGAAGGAGACGAUGGGGAUGAAGAGUAAUGCGGAGUUGGCCUGUUUUCUGUUGGACAGUCUGCCAAGCUCAGCACUCCAUAAGAGCCUGUCUGUGUUCCCUGCAUCCCCCACUGGACCUGGACUACCUGAUAGGACCUUUGGAUGGGAAUCCUCCACCAUGUUGCCAGUGAGCAGGUCUGGGUCAUGGGCAGAUGCCAGCAUGACUGCCAUCCAACCAACCGGACAAAGAACUGGAUUGAGAGGAGGACCAGAGCUCACGAGACCCUGACCAAUAUCGCUGGCUGAACUUCAGCUCUCACUCCUUGGCCUCUUCUCCCCCGAGGCUCUGUUCUGCCCUGGCUGACACUGUAAUCUGUGUCGCCUGAGUCUGAAGCUAGGGAAGCUCUGCUAAAUUCUCCCAUCUGGACACAAAAACACCACACUAGUCAGUGUGCGUGUAUAAGGAUGGCAGACGACCACCACAGCUCAGAGGGAGAGCGAAGAGCUAAGUGACCCUGAAAAAGGUGGACUGAUGUAAGGUUACUUCCAUGGAACAAUUGGACAUCAAUUCUCGGUUUUCCGAACAGCUUUGGAUUCUUGGCUACACCCAAGGCUCCGGAUGGAUGAGCCUCGAUUAGGCUGUCUUUCUCUCCCAGGAAAGAACACCUCAGACCGGGGAGAAUACGAUGCUCUGGCCCUGAGGUGAUGAAGGCCUGGAGGUCUGGAUUUUUACUUCACUGCUUUUUUUCUUCACUAUUUUACAUUCUGGCCCAUAAAGGAGAUUUUGCAAAAUCCCUAAACUGUCAGUCAUACAAAUUGAAUUACACCUAAUACCUGGAUGAGAAAAAAAAUCCCUGCAUGGUAAAAAUGCCUGCUGAUGUUGUAACUGAAUCGAAGUGCAGUAUUAAACAAACUGAACCAUGCUGCAAAACCCCAACGACAACGUUGCAGAAUAUUUACUAUGAAUGUUUUAUUCUAUUUCUAUAAUAUCCUCACAUGAGAAGCACACUAUGUUUUAAGUAUGGUUGGUUACACUACUAAAACUAGUGUCAGACAGCACGUGGACCCUGGUUUUCAGUGUCAAAGAUAAAUGUCUUACAUCUUUAACACACCAGCCCUGUUGUAUCAUAAGUUGCAUGUGACACAUGUGACAGCUGUAGCAUAUACAGGCAACACUGCACAUACAGUAACAAAGUCGAAGUAGCUGCUCAUCUAAGGAAUGAAUGUGAUAUAACUGCUGUUUGUCUCCAUAUUGCAGCAUUGACCCACUUCAACUCAAAGAAAUAAAAGAACGUAUAUCUUGAUGUGGCGCCAUCAGUCCCAGCUGAUAGGCUGAUAGGUGUUGACAUACGUAUCAGAGUAUUUUGCUCUUUGUGUUUCACUUGCUACAUAAAGGAA
This is a long non-coding RNA of Thunnus maccoyii (southern bluefin tuna), 1610 nucleotides long. RefSeq lists it as uncharacterized. Lineage: Eukaryota; Metazoa; Chordata; Actinopteri; Scombriformes; Scombridae. The record is from RefSeq and is a predicted model, not a curated record. The transcript is spliced from 7 exons.